Molecule: non-coding RNA, 924 nt
Filed under: Mus musculus (house mouse)
Lineage: Eukaryota; Metazoa; Chordata; Mammalia; Rodentia; Muridae
Source: RNAcentral
GAGGACCGUAUUCAUGGAAGAGGAUUGAACAGACUACUGAGUUCUUAAGAGAAAAAUGGCACUUAAGAAAUUGAUGGUGAUAUCAAAGGAAGGUUACUUAUUACUCUUGGACUUUGAUGAUGAGGACGAUGACAUAAAAGUUUCAGAGGAGGCUCUUGCGGAAGUAAAGAGCCCAGGAUUUGAUAAAAAUGAGAAUAUAUCGCCUCAAGCAGAAGCAGAUGAAUAUAUGGGAGAUGAAGUAGACAGUAUGUUGGAUAAAUCUGGAGUAAAGAACCCAGCAAUUGGUAAGGAUGAGAAUAUAUCGCCUCAAGUAAAAGGAGAUGAAGACAUGGGUUCAAUAGAGUACUUCAAAAGUUGUGUUUGUGUUACCUUCACUGGAAAAGUAGAUUCAGGAAUAUCAGCAUUUCAAGAGAUGGAAUUGACAGUAUGUUGGCUACAUCUGGAGGUCUUUUCUCCUGAGAACACGGGACUCCAGCAUCUUCGGAUUCUGCUCUUGGAGGUGUGGGUCCCUGCCUCUCUGCACAGGGGAACUUAUGUCUCUCCACAUGUCCGCAAAUGUCUACCCAAGAUUAUACAUCUUCCAAAGGCUUUCAAAUACUUCUUUACAUAAACAAGGGGUUUGCCCCACAUCCUCUAUAUUGCAGAAAACAAGACUAGGCUCUACCUCUGUAGAUCAAGCACGACUGAAAUCCGUGCUCUCAAAAGAUGCUGGGGAGAAAGAGUGCCAUUCUUCACAAAUGCUGAUGUGUGCAGCUGAACAGAGCGUUGAGGAAACGUCAGUGAUUUUAUAACUACUUAUCAUGUUGGGAGAUUGUUGUGAUGAUUGCCUGGACUCUCAGAUGUUACACAGGCUGCAUCAUUGGACUGAAAGUGAAUGGCCCAUGUGUUGCCACUGAUGUGAGCCAUUUGCCUGUUGUGCUUCAA